GAUGAACGCUAGCGGCAGGCCUAAUACAUGCAAGUCGAGGGGCAGCGCGGUAGCAAUACUGGCGGCGACCGGCGCACGGGUGCGUAACACGUAUGCAACCUACCUUCAACUGGAGGAUAGCCCGGGGAAACUCGGAUUAAUACUCCAUAAUACAGGGAUCCCGCAUGGGAAUAUUGUUAAAAGCUACGGCGGUUGAAGAUGGGCAUGCGUUCGAUUAGCUAGUUGGUGUAGGUAACGGCUCACCAAGGCUACGAUCGAUAGGGGGUCUGAGAGGAUGAUCCCCCACACUGGUACUGAGAUACGGACCAGACUCCUACGGGAGGCAGCAGUAGGGAAUAUUGGUCAAUGGGCGCAAGCCUGAACCAGCCAUGCCGCGUG
This 378-nucleotide ribosomal RNA is filed under the name uncultured bacterium. RNAcentral's name for it is "bacterial SSU rRNA". It matches the Rfam family "Bacterial small subunit ribosomal RNA", at positions 28 to 403 of the family's 1533-position model. The record is from RNAcentral.